CCUACGGGUGGCAGCAGUGGGGAAUAUUGCGCAAUGGGCGAAAGCCUGACGCAGCGACGCCGCGUGAGGGAUGAAGGUCUUCGGAUCGUAAACCUCUGUCAGCAGGGAAGAACGGUCACUUUGCUAAUCAGCAGUGACUUGACGGUACCUGCACAGGAAGCACCGGCUAACUCCGUGCCAGCAGCCGCGGUAAUACGGAGGGUGCGAGCGUUAAUCGGAAUUACUGGGCGUAAAGCGCGCGUAGGCGGUAUGUCAAGUCAAGGGUGAAAUCCCGGGGCUCAACGUGGGAACUGCCUUUGAAACUGGCGAACUGGAGUGCGUGAGAGGAUAGGGGAAUUCCAGGUGUAGGAGUGAAAUCCGUAGAUAUCUGGAGGAACAUCAGUGGCGAAGGCGACUAUCUGGCACAUAACUGACGCUGAGGAGCGAAAGCGUGGGUAGCAAACGGGAUUAGAUACCCCAGUAGUC
This 465-nucleotide ribosomal RNA is filed under the name uncultured bacterium. Its description in RNAcentral is "partial 16S ribosomal RNA". It matches the Rfam family "Bacterial small subunit ribosomal RNA", at positions 338 to 795 of the family's 1533-position model. The record is from RNAcentral.